UUUGGGGAAAGCUGUGAAAAACGGCCCAUCCUGAAUUCUAAGUAUUUUAAUGCAUGCAUUUAUUGAGGGCCCCGUAAUUUAUGUAUUUUGUUUGGCGAGUCUCAUCUCAUUUAUUAUUAAAAAGGCAAACUUAGAAGCGACUAUGAUUUUUCUAUUUGUAUUUGUCUCUAAUAACAAAAGCAACCAUAGUCAAUAGAUAUGCAUGAAAGGUCUGAAAUUCCUAAACUUAAUUUCAAACAAUUAGGCCCAAGAGCCGAAAAAUGGGAGAGCGACAUUUUCGGCACACCCCAAAGUUUAUUUGCAUAGGAAAUGGGCCGCCUGAGCCCAUAGUGGUUCACCCGUCCAGUAUCAAGGUAACUGAGCCAGUUAAUUAAACUUUCACGGCAAGAGCAAGAGUUAUUUGGGCUUCAAUAAGUACAGCAUCCCAAUUAGAGCAAUUGUUUCAAUAUGUAACAAAUUUGCAGACUCAGUUUUGUACUUGCAUUAACUCAUAAAUCGGAUUAUUUUAGCACUCAAAAUUGAUGUUAUUUUAACCUAUUGUUGUACUGAUUUUGGCACAUAAGUUCAUUUAUCACUUCCAGCACAUAGCUCAUGAAUUGUUUGCUCAUUCCUAUUGGAGUAGAUUCCUGAAAAUUUAAUUGAUCCUUAUUGAUAGCUAUUGAUACUAGUGAAGUUGGAUUGCCCAUAACUAACUCUAUUGAAUCACAUACUCCACAUCAAUUUAGGACAUUUAAAUCACACAGGAAGUCACGACUAAUUUCUGGUUUCAGCUCACGCAAAUUAAACUAAGAUCAGCUACAUAGCAUUCUAGUCUUCUAAUUUCAGAGAUUAAACUAUACAAAAUAAAAUUAAACUAACUAAAAUCGACGAACAAACUCUAGUUUUAACAGUUCAUCGGCUAAACAGUCCUAAAUUAUUAUAGCUCAAAACAGUCCUUUAGUUACAGUAAACAACCAAUAACACCACAGAAAAACUAUCUAACAAAACCAACUACUGAUUCACCUUCUCAUAAACAGUCAUAAAUUCAAUUCAUAAUCCACAAGUCAGACAUAGUUUCAGAACAGUCCUAUUACAGUCCAAUGUGUGUACAAAUAAGAAUUAAACUAAACAAGCAUCUCUAACAUCUAAUUAACUAUCAAUACAUCAUAGUCCAAACUGGUGUGAUUUUCAGGGGCAAAUCAGCGAACAUUUUAUAGCAAUUCCACUUCGAAAUUACAUCAAGUCAAAAUUGAGAACGUGUACCUGAGUAUUUCAAAUAUAAGAAGAAGAGGGAGUCAGCAGCAAUUCAACAGCAAAAAUCAAAUACAAUCCAGAAGUUGAACUCGACAGUCCAGGAGAAAUUCAAAAUCAAAUAGAAAUAGAAACUCGAACAACACACUUGAAUACCCUCAGAUUAGCUUGAACUUGGACCAGGAAUUAUAGAAAACUUCAAUUGGACAAGUAAACCCCCAUGAACCUCAAUAAUCUGACUCGAAUUUCAACUAAUAGAUCUAUAAACUUUCAGCAAUCAAUGAGAGAACUAUGAGAGGUGAAUUGAUAAUAGAAUAUCAAAACUAACCUACAAUUUCCAGUGAAAUAGUGACUUUUUUUAUUUUUUUAUUUUUUGUUGUUUUUGUUUUUUGAAGUAUUAGAUCUAAGAUUUGGAUUUUGAAAUUCAAACCUGGAAUUCAGCUUUUGCAGAGAAUGGAUUUCGGGGGGAGGGGGGAGGAGAAUAUUUGGGGUCUAAAACUUGUGUAUUAAGGUAGGGGGCAUGCCUUUAUAUAAGCAGGAAAGGGGUGGGAAAGUUCGAGAACUCACUCCCUCCUGAUAAAACCUGAAAUUUCCUCCUCUUCCCUCACAUGUGACCUCCCCCAGCCUUAUCUUCAUAUUCCCUGUGUUUUUCUUUCCCAAACUACCCUUUUAGAUCCUAAAAAUUACUAAACUGAAUCAGCCCCUAUUCCACCCUGGUCUAUUAACCCUAACCUUCUAAACUAACCAUGGCUAAAUCAGUAUUUCUCAAAGUCGAAUAGCUAAAACCAAACAAAUCCUAAAAGUUAAACUAACAAGGAUAUUAAUUCUAAAAUAAGUACAUGACCAAGUAAAAUAGCACUAAAAAUUGAAGUAAACUAACAACAAUACUCAUUCAAUUGAAAUCAAACAAAAAGAAAAUCCGAGCAUAACAGAAUUAACGAAACAUCAAAACAGAACGGAAUAAAAUAAAAAACUAAGACUGAAUUAAUCACAACCCUAGACGAAUCCUAAAUCAAUACUAAUUGUUAUAUUAAUCUAUUCGACCUUAACGAUACUUCAGAUAAGACAACAAAGCAACAAUAAAAACAAUAAAACAAGAGAGGGAAGGGCAGUGCAGUGAUGGAAUGCAACAAAGAAGAACGACGAGAUGAAGUAAACAAAAACAGAAACAGGGCAAAGAAAAGAAACGAGGUGAAAUACCUAACAAAGAAAGCAAAUGGCUGACUUGAAUGAACUCCGGCGUCUUGGAUUCGAGUCGAAACAAAUACUAACCUGGUUUUCUCAACGAAAACACAUGGUCAAUACUCGUUUUGAUCCCUAUCGCUUAAAGGAAGCAGACAAAUUUGGAAAAUUUCUUCUUCUUCAGUAUCAGACUCGAACGGACUGAUUUGGCAAGGUUUUGGGCAAAAAUGAUGAUGGAUUAGGUUUUAGGGAAGGAUGAUGGUCGCGUGGAUGAGAUUUGGGUGAUGGAUUGAUUCCUUCGCUGGUAAAUGGUGGACUUUACGGCUGCUAGGGUUUAACUGAAUGAAGAAGAAGAGAGAAAGACAGGGGUGUUUGGUUUGGUCUUAAGUUUAUGAAAGUAUAUUAGGACAUUAUUAUUUAGGUGGGAGAAGGGGAU
This 2848-nucleotide long non-coding RNA is filed under the name Nicotiana benthamiana. Its description in RNAcentral is "long non-coding RNA (NBEN_LNC009300)". The record is from RNAcentral. Lineage: Eukaryota; Viridiplantae; Streptophyta; Magnoliopsida; Solanales; Solanaceae.